Molecule: long non-coding RNA, 1099 nt
Filed under: Vitis vinifera (wine grape)
Lineage: Eukaryota; Viridiplantae; Streptophyta; Magnoliopsida; Vitales; Vitaceae
Description: long non-coding RNA (VVIN_LNC000585)
Source: RNAcentral
CUAAAUCUAACGCAAUAGAAAAUAAUGGCUUCAAAAACCAGUGUAGAAUAAAGAUAUAGAGAUUUGAAACUCAUACCUAUGAUCUAGAUGUUCCCAGGUCAAAAUCCAUCCACUGAAGAACAUGCCAGAAAAAAUGAGGAGUCCUUCUCCUUAUGCAACUGCCCGCGUUCACGUCCCAUGUGAUUCCUGCACAUGCAGCCUAUGCCUGUCUAGUGCAAUUCUCAUGCACAUGUCUUGUGCACGUCUUGUGCGCUAUAGCCCUACAUCCAAGAUGGUCUCAUACACUCAAGAUAUUUUGCCCAAUUACUCAAACCAUGAUCUUGGUACUCCAAAGUGUGGGCUUUGGAAGGGAGGAGGCUAUGACUCUCUAUCUCUUUAGAGGUGGAAGAUGACUAACUAAAAGUCAUUAGGAAACCCUAACCUAUAAGGAGGUAUUUAUACGAUUACCCACUCGGCUUAGGUGACUUGAGCCUAUCAAGGCUUGGGUCACUUAAUCUAGCCCAAAACGAGUCUUAAUUGAUUAAUUAAUCACAUAAGGUCAUCUAAUUAAUCAAUUAGCCCAAACUAGAGAACUUGUUCAUUAUCCUCUAUGCAACCUUGCUAAAUUACCAAAACAUCCUUAUGCACAAGAAUGAACUUAGAGCCAAUCCAACCCUCAUAAACUGUGCCAUCAUGGUAUAUGAGCUCAAAGCAAAGACCACUGGGACCCAUUAGAGUACUGGCUCCCUCAAAAUCCAAUUAUGAAGUUAAUUCAAUAUUCCACUAAAGAUAAUAAACUGCACUCCAAUACCCUUUGUAAAUAAAAAAUGAGACAGCUAAGGUCCGUGACCUACUACCCACUGCAUGCAAACUCCCCAUGAACUGGUGUUCGUAAUCUAACAAGGUAGUGUUAUCACUUAUCAAGAUUACCUCUCCAAUCCUGGAGUUACAGAUCUCACUUAUUAUGUGAUCAACUGACAUAUCUAAAGAGCAUAUAUCAAAUUUCACUAACGGAAUUACUCUGGCUACAGAUUUCAUGAUCACAUGUCCUUUGCAUCACCCAAUGAAACACAUUGUCUCAAUUCCAUGAGAUAUCAUGGUACCUAUAUUGAAAAUACUU